Molecule: ribosomal RNA, 465 nt
Filed under: Vreelandella stevensii
Lineage: Bacteria; Pseudomonadati; Pseudomonadota; Gammaproteobacteria; Oceanospirillales; Halomonadaceae
Description: partial 16S ribosomal RNA
Rfam family: Bacterial small subunit ribosomal RNA
Source: RNAcentral
CCUACGGGGGGCAGCAGUGGGGAAUAUUGGACAAUGGGGGGAACCCUGAUCCAGCCAUGCCGCGUGUGUGAAGAAGGCCCUCGGGUUGUAAAGCACUUUCAGUGAGGAAGAACGCCUGGUGGUUAAUACCCAUCAGGAAAGACAUCACUCACAGAAGAAGCACCGGCUAACUCCGUGCCAGCAGCCGCGGUAAUACGGAGGGUGCGAGCGUUAAUCGGAAUUACUGGGCGUAAAGCGCGCGUAGGUGGCUUGAUAAGCCGGUUGUGAAAGCCCCGGGCUCAACCUGGGAACGGCAUCCGGAACUGUCGAGCUAGAGUGCAGGAGAGGAAGGUAGAAUUCCCGGUGUAGCGGUGAAAUGCGUAGAGAUCGGGAGGAAUACCAGUGGCGAAGGCGGCCUUCUGGACUGACACUGACACUGAGGUGCGAAAGCGUGGGUAGCAAACAGGAUUAGAUACCCGAGUAGUC